RNAcentral lists this ribosomal RNA (460 nucleotides) under uncultured bacterium. RNAcentral's name for it is "partial 16S ribosomal RNA". It matches the Rfam family "Bacterial small subunit ribosomal RNA", at positions 338 to 795 of the family's 1533-position model. The record is from RNAcentral.
CCUACGGGUGGCUGCAGUGAGGAAUAUUGGUCAAUGGACGGAAGUCUGAACCAGCCAUGCCGCGUGCAGGAUGACGGCUCUAUUAGUUGUAAACUGCUUUUGUACGAGAAUAAUAUUUCUUACGUGUAGGGUUUUGAAUGUAUCGUACGAAUAAGGAUCGGCUAACUCCGUGCCAGCAGCCGCGGUAAUACGGAGGAUUCAAGCGUUAUCCGGAUUUAUUUGGUUUAAAGGGUGCGUACGCGGUCGGUUAAGUUAGGGGUGAAAUCCUGAGGCUCAACUUUGGAAGUGCAUCUGAUACUGUUCGGCUAGAGAGGAGUUGCGGUAGGCGGAAUGCAUGGUGUAGCGGUGAAAUGCUUAGAGAUCAUACAGAACACCGAUUGCGAAGGCAGCUUACCAAGCUACUUCUGACGUUGAGGCACGAAAGCGUGGGGAGCAAACAGGAUUAGAUACCCCUGUAGUC